UAAGGACUUCAAGGAUGGCAAGUCCAGCCUCAGCGCGGCUCAGAGCCUUGGGCUCCUCGGCGGUGAUCUCAACCUUGUCCUGCUGCAUGUCCACCAGCCUGCCGACAGGAUUAUGAACGGUAAAAAAAAAACAUGCAUCAACUUUGAUUUGUUUUAAUCUCACUUUGUAUCUAGAUCUUGUUCUUUUCUAGAGCCUAAUUCACAUUACAAACAAAAUAAGGCACUAGUACAAUUUUUAAUCCCCAGCGUUAUGUCACUCAACGUAGCAAUCGCUUCAGAGAGAUAAAUAAGACAUCUAUACUAUUGGUUCUUUAUUAUUAUGGCCACCUAGGUCAGAGCAUGCCCACCUAAAGUUUCAUUGAAUUUAACAUUGCUAGUUUUGCACAGGCUAUGUGCAAAGAUUAAACACACAUAUAUGAACUUAAUAACAUCGCUACAUGUUUUCUCUGUUAAUUGCUCUGCAGGAUUAUGCAAGGUUCCUGCAAGCCAGCUAGAAGAAAAGGAACUCAAAGCAUACAGGAAGAUUGAACAGGACGAGAUGAACACGCUUCUGAACCAGUAUAUGACUUACUGCAGGCUGUAUCUGAAGGUCCGUCGAUCAGUAUUCUAUUUCUUAGAUCAUUGCGAAGUUUUACUUAUCAAGGUUUCUACUUUUAGCUCCGGAUGCUGGUCAACUUGGGAUUAUCUCCAGGGGUAAAAAACAAAGUUUUAGAUUACGAUGUAUUUAUGUAAGGCCUAGUUGAAAAACAAAUUUAGUGACACACAUGGAAAAAAGAAUUUAAACCAACUAGUAAUAAGAAAUAUGCUAAGCCUACCUUUUUUUUCCUUUUACCUUUUCCUUUAUGACUAACCAGGAGUGGUUUGUAUUACCGUUAUAUGUCAUCUCACUAAACAUUAACUUUACAGGUGCAAGCAGAAACACUGGUCAUUGAGAAGAACAAUGUCGCAAAUGGCAUCGUAGAGCUAAUUAAUCAGCAUAGCAUCACAAAGCUUGUCAUGGGAAUGUCUUCCUUCUCAACGUAUGCAGAGAUGCAAUUAUUCAUAUAUUACAAUGAGGAUUUAUCAUAAAUAAUAAUAAUUUAUUCCUAAAUUGCACGGAUUAUAGACAUAUAUGCACCAUCUUUAUUUUAUUGGAAUAUCAGGGAAACAUCUGAGUUGUGCAAUUAUUAUGUUCAUUUUGUUAAUAGCUGCAUCUUUCGCUUUUCCAUAUUAAUAAGCAAAGGCAACAGGUUUUAUUUUUUAUUUUUGAUAAGAAAGGCCACAAAAUUGAUAACUGAUAGCCAACAAAAUGAUACUUCUUGCUAAAAUAGCAAAGUAUCUGCAAUAAAAUCCAGUGUUUUUGUUUCUUGCAUACUAGUUAGGUACAUGGCAAUCACAAGGUAGCAUUGAACUUCUGAUUAGCAAAACAUGAUUUAUUAGUUAUCAUCACUCCGUUUAAAUUAGAGGUCAGCUCUUGCAUUUAUCGUAGAUUGCUACGUUCUUAUGCUGAACAUUAGUUUCCAUGAACAGGAAGAGGAAAGUACCCAAGUCAAAAGUUGCAGCCAUUGUGCAUCAACAGGCCAAACCGUAUUGCCAGAUAUUCUUCAUUUGCAAAGGAUCUCUUGCUUGCACUAGGUAUGAACCCUUCAUGUGUCCCUGCAGCAUGAAGCCAAUUAAAUAGCAAUUCCAACUCAAGCAAUGACCCACCAUUAUUUUUUUGGGCAAACUGGUAAAAAAAUAUUAUUUUGGUUCAUCAUCAUUUUCAGGGAUGCCAAUCUGGAUUCUAUAAAAGCUGAUUCACCCAGAAGCAGUUCUGCAAGCACUCUGUCAGAUGAAACUGAGUUACCUGCAAGAUCAGUGUCACUUCCACCAGGGCAUCCUGGUUACAUGGGCUCUCCUGAUCAACCAUUCCUUCCUCGACGGUCAAAUUCAGUUAGUUACCC
Molecule: long non-coding RNA, 1922 nt
Filed under: Panicum hallii
Lineage: Eukaryota; Viridiplantae; Streptophyta; Magnoliopsida; Poales; Poaceae
Description: long non-coding RNA (PHAL_LNC000137)
Source: RNAcentral